Molecule: long non-coding RNA, 386 nt
Organism: Poecilia latipinna (sailfin molly)
Lineage: Eukaryota; Metazoa; Chordata; Actinopteri; Cyprinodontiformes; Poeciliidae
Exons: 2
Source: RefSeq, a predicted model, not a curated record
GUCCAGUAGCCCUCGAUGCAGCCCUGGCAGAAAGUGUGAUCGCAAGGCAGGGAAACUGGCUGCUUGAAAAGAUCCAAGCAUAUGGAGCAGCUGGACCCUGGACGUUCCUCUCCUGCAGACUGCGACCACUCUCUCUGGCCUCCAGUCUUCCUGUUGACUACUGGGAAAAUGAAGUGGGAGGCGCAGAAGCAGGCUCAGUCUCAGGAACAGAUAGCAAAGGGGAUCUCAUUUGCCCCCCUCUUCCCCUCUCAGACGUCACAUAGUCAGGAAACUGAGGCGGGCCAGAGAUAUUCUUUUCUUGGCCUGUUUGAUCCCUGAAGUCUGUGCAGAAAUUCCCGUUUCUCUGAACUCUAUAACCCACAAAAAAGUAAAUCCACUCACUGUGC